AGAAAAGUAAGCUAAAAACAAGCUAAUGGGUUCAUACCCCAUAGAUAGAGUAUUCACUCUCUUCUCUA
This 68-nucleotide transfer RNA is filed under the name Cryptotermes cavifrons. Its description in RNAcentral is "tRNA-Met". The record is from RNAcentral. Lineage: Eukaryota; Metazoa; Arthropoda; Insecta; Blattodea; Kalotermitidae. RNAcentral also lists the same sequence under 1 other name.